CCUACGGGAGGCAGCAGUGAGGAAUAUUGGUCAAUGGGCGCAAGCCUGAACCAGCCAAGUCGCGUGAGGGAUGACGGUCCUAUGGAUUGUAAACCUCUUUUGUCGGGGAGCAAGGCCCGCCACGUGUGGCGGGAAGGAGAGUACCCGAAGAAAAAGCAUCGGCCAACUCCGUGCCAGCAGCCGCGGUAAUACGGAGGAUGCGAGCGUUAUCCGGAUUUAUUGGGUUUAAAGGGUGCGUAGGCGGAAGGUUAAGUCAGCGGUCAAAUGUCGGUGCUCAACACCGGCCUGCCGUUGAAACUGGUCGUCUUGAGUGAGCGAGAAGUAUGCGGAAUGCGUGGUGUAGCGGUGAAAUGCAUAGAUAUCACGCAGAACUCCGAUUGCGAAGGCAGCAUACCGGCGCUCAACUGACGCUGGGGCACGAAAGCGUGGGGAUCGAACAGGAUUAGAUACCCUUGUAGUC
RNAcentral lists this ribosomal RNA (460 nucleotides) under uncultured bacterium. Its description in RNAcentral is "partial 16S ribosomal RNA". It matches the Rfam family "Bacterial small subunit ribosomal RNA", at positions 338 to 795 of the family's 1533-position model. The record is from RNAcentral.